GGCAGAUGUGACAUUCCAGGUGGUGACAACGCACUGGAGACCUCUUUGGAGCACAGAUCCUGUUUGAUUUUCCAUCCUUGCUCCAGGAAAAAGCAUCUCCAAAAGAGCAGGAAUGAUUUGGACAACCAAGAAUCCACCUGGGAAGUGCCACCAACUCAUCCCUAUGGAAGCCAUCAAUCCCAAACCCUCUUGGAUCCAACCUUCUGACACCUCUGGCCCAUUCCCACCUGGGAACUGCUGACCCAGGAGACUGGAUGGGACUUAAAUCCCAUUUUCUAAACCUUGGGUUUGGAUUGUUUCAGCCCGAUCCUCCCCAUUGGGAUCCCUAAUUGAAUUAUUUGCUCCGUGUGGAGCAGUAAUUAGGGAAGAGCUCCCAUUCCCUGGAUUUUGGCUGAGCCAGAGCAAACAGGAUUAGAAUUCUUCCUCCCAGCUCGGCAGUGCAAAUUAAAUGUUUAUUCUUUCAUGGAG
Non-coding RNA from Taeniopygia guttata (zebra finch), 468 nucleotides. The record is from RefSeq and is a predicted model, not a curated record. Lineage: Eukaryota; Metazoa; Chordata; Aves; Passeriformes; Estrildidae.